RNAcentral lists this ribosomal RNA (587 nucleotides) under uncultured bacterium. Its description in RNAcentral is "partial 16S ribosomal RNA". It matches the Rfam family "Bacterial small subunit ribosomal RNA", at positions 355 to 1375 of the family's 1533-position model. The record is from RNAcentral.
UGGGGAAUUUUGGACAAUGGGCGAAAGCCUGAUCCAGCAAUGCCGCGUGUGUGAAGAAGGCCUUCGGGUUGUAAAGCACUUUUGUCCGGAAAGAAAUCCUUGGCUCUAAUACAGUCGGGGGAUGACGGUACCGGAAGAAUAAGCACCGGCUAACUACGUGCCAGCAGCCGCGGUAAUACGUAGGGUGCAAGCGUUAAUCGGAAUUACUGGGCGUAAAGCGUGCGCAGGCGGUUUGCUAAGACCGAUGUGAAAUCCCCGGGCUCAACCUGGGAACUGCAUUGGUGACUGGCAGGCUAGAGUAUGGCAGAGGGGGGUAGAAUUCCACGUGUAGCAGUGAAAUGCGUAGAGAUGUGGAGGAAUACCGAUGGCGAAGGCAGCCCCCUGGGCCAAUACUGACGCUCAUGCACGAAAGCGUGGGGAGCAAACAGGAUUAGAUACCCUGGUAGUCCACGCCCUAAACGAUGUCAACUAGUUGUUGGGGAUUCAUUUCCUUAGUAACGUAGCUAACGCGUGAAGUUGACCGCCUGGGGAGUACGGUCGCAAGAUUAAAACUUCAAAUGGAAUUGACGGGGUCAUAGCUGUUUCCU